AUGCCUACGGGAGGCAGCAGUGAGGAAUAUUGGUCAAUGGGCGAGAGCCUGAACCAGCCAAGUCGCGUGAGGGAAGACGGCCCUACGGGUUGUAAACCUCUUUUGUCAGGGAGCAAGAACGGAUACGUGUAUCCGAGCGAGAGUACCUGAAGAAAAAGCAUCGGCUAAAUCCGUGCCAGCAGACGCGGUAAUACGGAGGAUGCGAGCGUUAUCCGGAUUUAUUGGGUUUAAAGGGUGCGUAGGCGGGCUGCAAAGUAAGCGGUAAAAUUGCGGGGCUCAACACCGUCGAGCCGUUGAAACUGGUG
RNAcentral lists this ribosomal RNA (305 nucleotides) under uncultured bacterium. RNAcentral describes it as "bacterial SSU rRNA". It matches the Rfam family "Bacterial small subunit ribosomal RNA", at positions 335 to 638 of the family's 1533-position model. The record is from RNAcentral.